This 389-nucleotide long non-coding RNA is filed under the name Carica papaya (papaya). RNAcentral describes it as "long non-coding RNA (CPAP_LNC013399)". Lineage: Eukaryota; Viridiplantae; Streptophyta; Magnoliopsida; Brassicales; Caricaceae. The record is from RNAcentral.
UUUUCUAACUUCCAACACUAAAGACAAAUUUAUUUGGAAUUCGUCCAACUCCUUAUCACAAUAUACUAUUAACCUCAAAAAUAAUAAUUACUUAUCUCCAAAAUAGAAUCACAACGCUUUGAAAGUCUCAUUUCAUGCGUAUAUUCUCCUGUGCUUCAUAAGUACUCCCAAGUUGGUUACUUCUCUUCCAAUCAUAAUCAAAAUAAGCUUUAUUCGUUAAGAACAUCUCUUCCAAUCUCAUAGAUGCAAAACAUAAUUGGUUUGCUAGUAACAAAAUCUAAAACCCUCUAUUUCACUUUACAUAGCUCUUCGACAAAUUGUACAUUUAAUCUCAAACUUAUCACUGUCUGAGUGACUUCAAAAAUCUCAAUAAUUGAUCGGGCUCUCCU